CUACGGGUGGCAGCGGUGGGGAAUAUUGCACAAUGGAGGAAACUCUGAUGCAGCAACGCCGCGUGGAGGAUGACACUUUUCGGAGCGUAAACUCCUUUUAUAUAGGAAGAAGAUGACGGUACUAUAUGAAUAAGCGCCGGCUAACUCCGUGCCAGCAGCCGCGGUAAUACGGAGGGCGCAAGCGUUACUCGGAAUCACUGGGCGUAAAGAGCGUGUAGGCGGAUUAAAAAGUCAGAAGUGAAAUCCUAUAGCUUAACUAUAGAACUGCUUCUGAAACACUUAAUCUAGAAUAUGGGAGAGGAUAGGAUGUAUUUGGUGGUGAGGGGGGAAAAGCAUGAAAAAUAGUAAGAAAUCCCGAUUGAGAAGGCGAUCUAAUAAAACAUUGUUGACGCGGAUACGCGAAAUUUGGGGGGGCAAAGGGGUUUAAAUGCCCUUGUAGUC
This 441-nucleotide ribosomal RNA is filed under the name uncultured bacterium. RNAcentral's name for it is "partial 16S ribosomal RNA". It matches the Rfam family "Bacterial small subunit ribosomal RNA", at positions 339 to 795 of the family's 1533-position model. The record is from RNAcentral.